ACAGGUUCGGUGUCGCCCAGUCACCUCCGUCGCGCAGUCACCUGCAUCGCGCAGCAGCCGUCGUUCGUCGGAACAGCCACCUCCAUCACACAGCAGCCGACGUCUCUUGAAGGUGCUCCACCACUGCUUGAAGUCGUCGCCCAGCCAGUCACCUCCAUCACCCGACGUCGCUGUCUCCCAAGUCCCACUCUCCCUAUUGCAUGUUCUGUACUUGAAGCCUUGAAGGUGCCUUCGAGCUUCCAAGAGUUCCAGGAAUAUAUGACUUGAUGCCUGUGAAAUUGCGAAGGGUGAUGUUUCAGGGUCUCUGGUGGAGUUUGACAGGGCAAUUGAGUUGGACCCUCGUCAAAAGGCGUGUAUGUUUAUAAGCAUUUUGAAAAAAAAAAGCGUUAUAUCAGCACUUUGGAUUGGAAUGAUUGUAAAUUGAGUUCAAGUUACAUGAAAUUUGGUUGUGCUCAUUGUGUUUGUUACCAGAUCUUUGGCAAAGGGGCCUCUCCCUUUACUACCUUGAUAGAUUUGAAAAAGGAGCUAA
Arachis ipaensis is the source of this 529-nucleotide non-coding RNA. The record is from RefSeq and is a predicted model, not a curated record. NCBI's taxonomy places the organism in Eukaryota, Viridiplantae, Streptophyta, Magnoliopsida, Fabales, Fabaceae.